RNAcentral lists this ribosomal RNA (216 nucleotides) under uncultured bacterium. Its description in RNAcentral is "partial 16S ribosomal RNA". It matches the Rfam family "Bacterial small subunit ribosomal RNA", at positions 1284 to 1500 of the family's 1533-position model. The record is from RNAcentral.
GGUCUCAGUUCAGAUUGCAGGCUGCAACCCGCCUGCAUGAAGUCGGAAUUGCUAGUAAUCGCGGAUCAGCAUGCCGCGGUGAAUACGUUCCCGGGCCCUGUACACACCGCCCGUCACACCAUGGGAGCCGGUAAUACCCGAAGUCAGUAGUCCAACCUCGUGAGGACGCUGCCGAAGGUAGGAUUGGCGACUGGGGUGAAGUCGUAACAAGGUACC